GCCUGAGUGGCUCAGUCGGUUGAGCGUCUGACUUCAGCUCAGGUCAUGAUCUCACAGUUUGUGAGUUCGAGCCCUCCGUCAGGCU
RNAcentral lists this transfer RNA (85 nucleotides) under Felis catus (domestic cat). It matches the Rfam family "tRNA". Rfam says of the family: Transfer RNA (tRNA) molecules are approximately 80 nucleotides in length. Their secondary structure includes four short double-helical elements and three loops (D, anti-codon, and T loops). Further hydrogen bonds mediate the characteristic L-shaped molecular structure. tRNAs have two regions of fundamental functional importance: the anti-codon, which is responsible for specific mRNA codon recognition, and the 3' end, to which the tRNAs corresponding amino acid is attached (by aminoacyl-tRNA synthetases). tRNAs cope with the degeneracy of the genetic code in two manners: having more than one tRNA (with a specific anti-codon) for a particular amino acid; and 'wobble' base-pairing, i.e. permitting non-standard base-pairing at the 3rd anti-codon position. Lineage: Eukaryota; Metazoa; Chordata; Mammalia; Carnivora; Felidae. The record is from Rfam by way of RNAcentral.